GACAAACUACAGAGUGAGAGAGAGAGCUGUUUACUUGUGAAAGUGUUUGGCAACAGCAACUAUUACGUCUCCAUAGAACAAAAUAACUGGGAAUUUGCAAAGCAGGACUGUUUGAAUAGAAGGGCAACGCUAGUCAUCAUAAACAAUGAAGAGGAACAAAAAUUCCUCAUUUCAUUAAACAUACGUACUUGGAUCGGUCUGUCUGACAUAGAGACUAAGGGGACCUGGAGAUGGGUGGAUGGCACACCUCUGACU
Molecule: long non-coding RNA, 255 nt
Organism: Esox lucius (northern pike)
Lineage: Eukaryota; Metazoa; Chordata; Actinopteri; Esociformes; Esocidae
Exons: 3
Source: RefSeq, a predicted model, not a curated record